GCCGAAGUGGCGGAAUUGGUAGACGCGCAUGGUUCAGGGCCAUGUGGGCGUCAGCCCGUGGGGGUUCGAGUCCCCCCUUCGGCACCA
RNAcentral lists this transfer RNA (87 nucleotides) under Candidatus Methylomirabilota bacterium. RNAcentral describes it as "tRNA-Leu". It matches the Rfam family "tRNA". From Rfam's summary of the family: Transfer RNA (tRNA) molecules are approximately 80 nucleotides in length. Their secondary structure includes four short double-helical elements and three loops (D, anti-codon, and T loops). Further hydrogen bonds mediate the characteristic L-shaped molecular structure. tRNAs have two regions of fundamental functional importance: the anti-codon, which is responsible for specific mRNA codon recognition, and the 3' end, to which the tRNAs corresponding amino acid is attached (by aminoacyl-tRNA synthetases). tRNAs cope with the degeneracy of the genetic code in two manners: having more than one tRNA (with a specific anti-codon) for a particular amino acid; and 'wobble' base-pairing, i.e. permitting non-standard base-pairing at the 3rd anti-codon position. The record is from RNAcentral. RNAcentral also lists the same sequence under 3 other names. Lineage: Bacteria; Methylomirabilota (SeqCode).